GACGAACGCUGGCGGCGUGCCUAAUACAUGCAAGUAGAACGCUGAAGGAGGAGCUUGCUCUUCUGGAUGAGUUGCGAACGGGUGAGUAACGCGUAGGUAACCUGCCUGGUAGCGGGGGAUAACUAUUGGAAACGAUAGCUAAUACCGCAUAACAGUAGAUGUUGCAUGACAUUUGCUUAAAAGGUGCAAUUGCACCACUACCAGAUGGACCUGCGUUGUAUUAGCUAGUUGGUGGGGUAACGGCUCACCAAGGCGACGAUACAUAGCCGACCUGAGAGGGUGAACGGCCACAAUGGGACUGAGACACGGCCCAGACUCCUACGGGAGGCAGCAGUAGGGAAUCAUCGGCAAUAGACGGAAGUCUGACCGAGCAACGCCGCGUGAGUGAAGAAGGUUUUCGGAUCGUAAAGCUCUGUUGUAAGAGAAGAACGAGUGUGAGAGUGGAAAGUUCACACUGUGACGGUAUCUUACCAGAAAGGGACGGCUAACUACGUG
This 495-nucleotide ribosomal RNA is filed under the name uncultured bacterium. Its description in RNAcentral is "partial 16S ribosomal RNA". It matches the Rfam family "Bacterial small subunit ribosomal RNA", at positions 28 to 507 of the family's 1533-position model. The record is from RNAcentral.